GAUGAACGCUGGCGGCGUGCCUAAUACAUGCAAGUCGAGCGAACAGAUGAGGAGCUUGCUCCUCUGACGUUAGCGGCGGACGGGUGAGUAAAACGUGGAUAACCUACCUAUAAGACUGGGAUAACUUCGGGAAACCGGAGCUAAUACCGGAUAAUAUAUUGAACCGCAUGGUUCAAUAGUGAAAGACGGUUUUGCUGUCACUUAUAGAUGGAUCCGCGCCGCAUUAGCUAGUUGGUAAGGUAACGGCUUACCAAGGCAACGAUGCGUAGCCGACCUGAGAGGGUGAUCGGCCACACUGGAACUGAGACACGGUCCAGACUCCUACGGGAGGCAGCAAUAGGGAAUCUUCCGCAAUGGGCGAAAGCCUGACGGAGCAACGCCGCGUGAGUGAUGAAGGUCUUCGGAUCGUAAAACUCUGUUAUUAGGGAAGAACAAAUGUGUAAGUAACUAUGCACGUCUUGACGGCACCUAAUCAGAAAGCCACGGCUAACUACGUG
Molecule: ribosomal RNA, 497 nt
Filed under: uncultured bacterium
Lineage: Bacteria
Description: partial 16S ribosomal RNA
Rfam family: Bacterial small subunit ribosomal RNA
Source: RNAcentral